Long non-coding RNA from Heterocephalus glaber (naked mole-rat), 590 nucleotides. The record is from Ensembl. NCBI's taxonomy places the organism in Eukaryota, Metazoa, Chordata, Mammalia, Rodentia, Bathyergidae.
CAUGAAAGGAUGUGUACUCAAAGCCACAUCCCUCGAUGUCACAUUCUCCAUCCUCUCUCGACCCCUGGAAACUGCAUGACGGAACAGCUCCUUUGAAGUUAAUGCAGACUUUGACUGUUGCUGCAUCUCCUGAAGGUCAAAGCCAUCAGAAUCUCAGUGCUAUUAUCAGCGAGGGUUGCAAAGCCCAGCCCAGCUGUAGCUCCUCAUGUGAAGCACACUCUUGCAGGACUAAUGAAUGCUUCAGUUUCAUCAGAAACUCUACAAGCAGGGGCUUCUGGUGGGCUGCCCACUGUGCUGCCCACUGCUGUCCCCAUGAAACAAAAGCAGACCUGCUGGGGCCAGCCAGCGUCUGAGCCUGCGACCUUGGGUUCGUUCCUGUGUCUUUGUGGACAGAAGCUCGAAGACAAGAGAGCUGAGCCUGGGGAUGGGAGGUCGGAGCUGCCACUGGGAUUCGGCAGAGGAGGCUGCGUCUGAGGAGGUGGCCAAGGCUGAAAUAAGGAACCGCACCAACCCCUCUGUAGAAGAAGUCUGCAGGUUCCAAUCCUGACUCUGCCACUUACAAGCCGUGCAACUCUGGGCCUAGUACUUAG